AGCGAACGCUGGCGGCAGGCUUAACACAUGCAAGUCGAACGCCGUAGCAAUACGGAGUGGCAGACGGGUGAGUAACACGUGGGAACGUACCCUUCGGUUCGGAAUAACUCAGGGAAACUUGAGCUAAUACCGGAUACGUCCGAGAGGAGAAAGAUUUAUCGCCGAGGGAUCGGCCCGCGUCUGAUUAGCUUGUUGGUGAGGUAACGGCUCACCAAGGCGACGAUCAGUAGCUGGUCUGAGAGGAUGAUCAGCCACAUUGGGACUGAGACACGGCCCAAACUCCUACGGGAGGCAGCAGUGGGGAAUAUUGGACAAUGGGCGCAAGCCUGAUCCAGCCAUGCCGCGUGAGUGAUGAAGGCCCUAGGGUUGUAAAGCUCUUUUACCCGGGAAGAUAAUGACUGUACCGGGAGAAUAAGCCCCGGCUAACUUCGUGCCAGCAGCCGCCGUAAU
This 450-nucleotide ribosomal RNA is filed under the name uncultured bacterium. RNAcentral describes it as "bacterial SSU rRNA". It matches the Rfam family "Bacterial small subunit ribosomal RNA", at positions 29 to 524 of the family's 1533-position model. The record is from RNAcentral.